Molecule: ribosomal RNA, 445 nt
Filed under: uncultured bacterium
Lineage: Bacteria
Description: partial 16S ribosomal RNA
Rfam family: Bacterial small subunit ribosomal RNA
Source: RNAcentral
GUGAGGAAUAUUGCGCAAUGGAGGCAACUCUGACGCAGCCAUGCCGCGUGCAGGAAGAAGGCGCUACGCGUUGUAAACUGCUUUUAACCGGGAAGAAACCCCAGGACGUGUCCUGGGUUGACGGUACCGGAGGAAUAAGCACCGGCUAACUUCGUGCCAGCAGCCGCGGUAAUACGAAGGGUGCAAGCGUUAUCCGGAUUCAUUGGGUUUCAAGGGUGCGUAGGCGGAGCGUUAAGUCAGUGGUGAAAUCCUGCAGCUUAACUGUAGACUUGCCAUUGAUACUGGCGCUCUUGAGUGCGCUUGAAGUGGGCGGAAUGUGCCGUGUAGCGGUGAAAUGCUUAGAUAUGGCACAGAACACCAAUUGCGAAGGCAGCUCACUAAGGCGAUACUGACGCUGAGGCACGAAAGCGUGGGGAUCGAACAGGAUUAGAAACCCGGGUAGUCC